UCCAUGGCUCACAUUCCGCGAAUUUUAACAACUAAGCAGGGUCAGAAGAGCAGGACACGGCCACCGGCAGCACGCCUGUGAAACGGCCCGGGGGCGGCAGAGCGCCAGGGAAGUUUGAAGGCUUGGCCGGGGGAUACAAGACGAGACCAAAGAGACGUCCUCCAUCAUAUAGGCCAACAUCCGUACGCAGGAGGACACCACGGCCACUUCCACCUAAAGCAACCUUGGGCAGGGGACACUGCGGAGCGAGACCGCGAAAAGGGAAGUGCCAGGACAAUAAUGACAAGUGGUAUCACGAUGGAGCUUUCUACACUUGCUCCCGUGUGACGGAAGGAAUGUGCCCAACCGUUGGCAGAUUCUUCGAAAGCUGUGAUGAGUGCUUUGACAAAUGCCGAAUGGGCAGGCACAACAACUGCGAGUACCAGAAAUGAACCUGCGGCACAAGACGACAAGAGGCUUGGACGCCGUGACUUAUUCCGCAAUU
RNAcentral lists this long non-coding RNA (484 nucleotides) under Dermacentor andersoni. RNAcentral describes it as "uncharacterized LOC126534907". The record is from RNAcentral. Lineage: Eukaryota; Metazoa; Arthropoda; Arachnida; Ixodida; Ixodidae.